AAAUUCCCCUAGGGCUCAGGCUGUGAGAAACAUCCUGCCGGGCAAGUCCUAAGCCCAACCGCCUGAUCUCAGGAAAUUCCUCACUUAGCAACAGCUAACCACCCUGCCCACCCCACUUCACAACAAGCCCAGAUCUCUCCCACCCGGACCUAAACUUACCCAGUCUGUAAGCGGGGGCGGGCUCUGGCCUUAGUUGGUGUCCCCCUCCGCGGGUGUUUGUUCGGUAAACCUGUGUUGCUGUAGAGCCGCCUCCGUCCGUUUUUCCUCCCGUUCCUGCGCUAACAAUGACAUUAUACCAAAUGUAACUGAUAUACUAAUACAUGCUGCUGUAAUAAGGAGUCCUCAUUUAAGUUACUGUGUCCAAAAUGAGUUUCCAGUGGUCCUCCAUCUUGAUACAUGCUCCAGUAUCACUUAUACAGAAAGGGUGGACAUGAUAAAACCAAGAUAGAAAUUGUGCCUCAUAAUUGAUAUUUUGAGGAUUCCAUGAAGUAAUAAAUUUAUUAUGUGC
Molecule: long non-coding RNA, 508 nt
Filed under: Homo sapiens (human)
Lineage: Eukaryota; Metazoa; Chordata; Mammalia; Primates; Hominidae
Description: HSALNT0319023
Source: RNAcentral